UCGUGUGGGUUUACAGAAUAAAUUUAGGUGUAGGUCACGUCUUAUUCUACAAAACAUACAAAAAUAUUAGUGCUCAAUACAUAAAUAAGUCAUAUAAGUUUUUAAAAUUUACGGCCGGCAAUAUAGCAGAUAAUUACUGUGUACUGUGUAAAAUGUUGUUUUAAUGACGUUCAUGUUCAAACUAUGAUAUUAUGUCUGUAAUAGUGGGGUAGUUUAACCAAGUAAAUUCUUAUUCAUUUCGAAUGUUAUUAAUAGUGUCUGCUUUGUGUGUGAGAGAGCUAGAGAGAGAGCUAGAGUUUCAGCAUGAUAGAGGACAUGCGACAGGAUAACCACACACGCGCACUACACUGAAAGCAGCUCGAAUUCCCGUCGCGUGCAUGUGACCCUGUAGCACUGUGAGGGAGGCCGUGGAGGUGGCAUGUCGUUCGAAAACAAGCCUCUUGUAUCUGAUGUAUGACUGAUGAAAUCCUCUCCUCGGGUCCCAGGCUUCACUAUUUUUCAAAUCCUGACUACGGUCCUGCUGGUACGUUCCUUUCGGAGAGUCGUUCACAAGAUGAUCUCCAUGGAAACGAAAACUGUGACAAACAACCAGCAUAAUACAGCAAGACUGCUGGACUGAGUCUUUUCUCUCCACAGUCACUUUUGAGGAGGCCACUUUUGCAGGGAUGGACAAAGACCUUAAGCUAGGAU
Long non-coding RNA from Brienomyrus brachyistius, 690 nucleotides. RefSeq lists it as uncharacterized. The record is from RefSeq and is a predicted model, not a curated record. Lineage: Eukaryota; Metazoa; Chordata; Actinopteri; Osteoglossiformes; Mormyridae. The transcript is spliced from 3 exons.